GAAAUUUUUUAUGUAUUCAAAAUUUCAAUCUAUAAAAAAAAAUUUGUAUUUUAUUUAUAUAAAAUAAAAAAGGA
RNAcentral lists this unclassified non-coding RNA (74 nucleotides) under soil metagenome. RNAcentral's name for it is "partial internal transcribed spacer 1". The record is from RNAcentral.